This 484-nucleotide unclassified non-coding RNA is filed under the name Hevea brasiliensis (rubber tree). The record is from RNAcentral. Lineage: Eukaryota; Viridiplantae; Streptophyta; Magnoliopsida; Malpighiales; Euphorbiaceae.
UGGCUCUAAAACAGCCGCGCACAACGGUACAUCGCCAUUUCUCUCACGGUCCUAUCAAUGGGCUAAGCUAUGCCACUGACCCUCUAAGGCAAAGUGCAUAUGAGCUCUACAUUCGUUUCUCCCUGAAAUCAUCGGGGUUAGAUCUGCAUUUUCUACGUUUUUUUGGGAGGCCUCUCUGCUGUCUUGGAAGACUGUUGGCUUUUCUUGGGUGUUUGCAGGAACUAGGUGUCAAUGUUUCCUCUUCCAGACAGCGAUCGGAGCUGGGCGGCACUGCUGACUGCUGCCUCUUCAUGGUUCUGUUGGUAGCCUAGGAUUUCUUGUGUGAUGAACUUGGGACUUAUCUGUUUCUAGGGCUAGCUUAAUUCUUUAGGGCCUCUAGUCCAUUGUGUUUCUUCUCUGUGGUUGAACUGCUGUUGGAUCUGGCUUUGUAACCUUGGGCUGACAAUGAAACUUAUCUUCGAUUAAAAUAAAAAAAAAAAAAAAA